UUAUACAGUUCUCUAGCGUCACUAUCUUAGACACGUGAUUAAACCAGUGUUUACUUUAAGUGAUGCAACACUUCAUCUUUAUGUAAUUGCAAAAGUAACAGGAUGUAACUUGUGAAUUAUUUUACAUCGAUUUGGAUUUUGGUGGCUUAUAAAAGGUAACGUUAAGCAAACGUUUAGCUAAUUAAAGUGUAUUGUUGUGUUCGAAGAACGUGACUAUUCGACUUAAUGAGGUUAUUUAUCUUAAUACAGCUACUGAAUGUGGCGUACGGUUGCGUGGACUUCUGGAAAAAAUGGACAGGGUAUCGAUGCAUAAAUUCGAAAGACAUCAAUUCCGAAACUAGAUGCUACAUGACAGAGAAGCUAUCUUAUGCUCAAAUUAUUCGCAGUUAUUUCUAUGUGUUUUGUAAAAACGAAACUAUUUAUGGGCAGUUAAUGCGAUGUUUAGAAGCUGAAAGUACAAAUCACGUUUAUAUUAAUGAUUGUUAUAUGUCGGAGUUUGAUGUGGGACAAUUUGUGUCGGGGGUGAAAGUUAUCGACGUCCUCGUUAACCUCGAGUCGACUGUUAUGAAUAAUUUCGUUAGUGCUACGUUUAAUGAUAUUCCCACUCUAAGAACAAUAACAUUGACUGGUUUAAGAACUUCGGGCGUGUUAAAUGUGACCUUUGAAAAUGUUUCUUCCGUUGCGUAUCUCAACAUCGAGAAUUACGAGUUUGGGACCUUUAUGCCGAGACCCUUUCAAAAUUUAUCCAGUCUUUUAACAUUAAGUCUGAAAAAUGGAGUUUUAGAAACGUUACCGAGCCAAGUAUUUCAGGGACUUUAUAAUUUGAAUAUACUGAACCUGAGCAACAAUCAAAUGGAAGAAAUCGAUCCGCUCCUUCUCAAGAAUCUCACUGAAUUGCAAGUUUUGGAUUUAUCUGGAAAUAAACUGAUAAAUUUACCGAGUGACUUGCUGUCCGAUCUGUCGAAUUUGAUCUCAUUUUUCGUUCAGGAAAAUAGAUUAACUGCACUUCCUGAUAAUUUAUUCGCUGCCUGCCCAAAAUUAGAGGUUUUUUCCGUAAGCUAUAAUCAGAUAGGACGGUUUCCUCCUGGAUUCUUCGCCGGUUUGCGAAACUUGAAACAUUUCGCUGCUAUAAACUGCAGUUUAAUGCACUUGGAAAUAGGAAUAUUUUCUGACGCAACAAACUUAACAGGAGUCUUUCUUACAACCAAUGAAAUUGUCAAUUUACCGCCAGAUCUUUUUAAAAAUAGCAAGAAUUUAGAAAAACUUUACAUAGGAGUGAAUAAAAUACAGGACCUUCCUCCGGGCAUCUUCGAUGAUCUCAUCAAUUUUCAAUACAUCCAAUUAACGUUUAAUCGUUUGCAAACACUUCCCACAAAUGUUUUUCAGAAUUUAUCGUCUUUAGAAGUUCUUGAAUUGGGAUUCAAUCGCCUCACUCACUUACCCGAAGACGUCUUUCUUCCACUUAUUAACUUACGAGUCCUCGACAUAUCUCAUAGUUCUUUCCUUAGACUUUCCGUUAAACAACCUUUCGGCAGAAGUAAGCAUUUGACUAAGAUUUCUGCCAAAUUUUCAAAUUUCCUGGCCUGGCCAAUGAUAAAUUGGACGGAGCAUAGCUUGACUUCCGUUGAUUUCUCUAGAAGUAAUUUUAGUAACGUGACAUUAUCGCUGCAUACUCCUAACCGAGCCAUCGUUGACCUGUCCGAGAGUAAUAUAAGGACCAUAUACAUCGAUACCCGUGAAUACGGAUCUAAUUUCACUACUUACGAUUUGAGGAACAGCAAGAUUAUCUGCGAUUGCAAUCUUCGCCAAUUUGUCGACUUUCUAAACGUAAAUUUAUUGACGGCAUCCAAAAUUUUUCCAAAUCUUACCAAUUUAGAGUGCUACGAGGAGAAGAAAAAGUUACUUGAUAUUACGACGACGUACCGCAUGUGUCCUGUAACAAAAGAUUGCCCCGUACAUUGCGAAUGCUUCCAGGACUUCGAAGGGGUUUUAGUAAAUUGUUCUCGAAAAGACAUGAGAGAUAUGCCUGAAAUUCUUAUCGAAAAUGCUACUGUUGUGGAUCUUACGCAUAACAAAAUUUCAAAUGUUGAUCCACUGUUGUGUAGGAAUGUCACACAUUUAUACUUAAGCGACAAUUCCUUAACUUCUAUCGAUAACUUACCACCGACUCUCACUUAUCUUUCCUUAAACAGAAAUCAAUUAACUCGAUUGCCUUCGUCCUUGAUGUAUCGGAUUGAUAAAUGGAAUGAGUUAAAAAUUUUGUUAGCUGGAAACAACUGGAGCUGUGGUUGUGAUUCUCUGUUUACCAAGGAUUGGUUAAUUAGAAACAAACACAAAAUACUGGACUUCGCUAAUGUUUCUUGCAUGAGUGGUUCCGAUUUAUCCAGCUUUGUCCAAGUUAUAUCAACGGAUAAAUGCAAGGAGGAAGUGAUUUAUUUUGCAUCAUGGAAAACUGCACUCGUGUGUAUUAGUUUGAUUGUCUUUGUACUCGUAUUAUUAAUUGUUUUAAUUGUUAAUGUCCGUCGUUUGAAAAGAACUAUUAACAAUUCGGAAAAUGAAUCAAACAAUGCCGUGGCUAUAUACUUUAUAAACGGGCAAGAAGAAAAUGUAGAAGUAAGAUGAGCACUGGCGGGUCUACUAUGAAACUAAUGAAACUAAAGCUUCGUGGUUCCUAAUCUCGGAGGUGCCCAAAGUGAGUUUACUUCUGGGUGUUGCCCUAUUAUUGCUGAUUGCAAAGGAGUUCCAUAACAGUCUAUCAAAAAUGUAGGUCCGCCAAUGAAGACGAGAGAAUUUUUCUUCAACUAAAAUGAACAUGAAAAAUGUUUUGUAGUGUUUGGCAUAUUGUGUCAUAACUUAUGAUAGUGGCAUAACUAAAGUCACUUUGGAUUGCCUGGUUGAUGUGUCAGGAAGCGGGAGUGUACAGCAUGUAUGACGUUUGUAACAAGUACUAAAUUAAGUUUUAUAUAAUUGUAUAGGCUUACAAGUGUCCAAAAUUCAUAAAGAAAAUAUAGCACUAGAAACACGAAAUAUGUAACAGCAGGGCCGCCAGAGAGAGUCCUGCUGUUAUAUGUUUCGUGAAGGGACGGCAAAAGCAGCAAAUUGUCCUAAGUCUUAAAGAAAUUAGGGGGUCCUUAUACAAUGGUUUUGUUUUCUUUUAUUGCUACAGAACCCCAAAUAUGCAUUUUGCUCCGACCCCUCGUUACCCUCUGGAUGACUUUGUAUAACUGUGAUGAUAAAAGUAUUCGUUCGAUAAAGUAAUGGUUUUCACAGUGACUCGAAUUAUUAAUACCUAAGAUCAUAUUUAUGAAUUGUGCGUUACGAAGUAAAUUGUGUAAAUCAUUUCCCUUGAAUGUGUGUACAAUUUUACAAGAAGUGAUUAUAUUUAACCUGUCUGGCAAUAAUGGGAGUAUUGCCUUCUUUAGCGGCUUUAAUACACCUGACAUAGUUCUAUUCCAAAUGAAACGUUAUGCCAUUACAUCUCUUAUACAGUGUAUUAAAAAUGUAUCUAUGAUAGUUACAAUAAAAAUGAAUUCACCAAGAGAUAUUUCGUAUAGGCAGCUAUGAAUGCCCUCUUUCAAUGAAAAUUGGAGCUAAACAACAUACCAACUUAUUUAAAUUUUUGAAUUAUAAAAAAGAUUAUAUGAAGAACUUAUUUAUUUUACUUUAACGCCAUCUGGAAAACAAGAAAACCGUUGAACACUGGUAGUUGAUCAUUGGUUCGUGCCUGACCAAGGGGCUGGCUACCAUGCAGUGUUCUGGGUUUUUUUCGGGUGUGUAACACCUGAACAGAAUCCAGUUUCCACAUAGGAAGUCCUGCUAGAAGUUAUCAGAUCACCCAAGUGUUCCAUUGCCUUACUCCAUCAAUACAUUGAUACCAAAUCUUAAUGCUGACAUUUUAAUGUUUUGUGAAUAAGAUUACAUUUCACCUUUGUAUGUAUGGAAACUUUUGGGACACCCUGUAGUAUUUAAUAUAUAAUUUUUGUUUUAAAUAGUAUAAACACUUAAUAUGUACUUGUACCCGGAAUUGAAUUUUCACCUAUGGUGGUUCUUUUAUGAAAUCGCGUACAGAUUGUUAGUAGUCAUCAAAUUGGUAUUUAUAUUUUUUUAUAUUAUAAAAUUAUAAUGAGAAAAGAUGUAGGUAUGGCACUGAAGAGGGACUGAGAAAUUACCUGCAGGAAACGCAUACAUAGAAGAGAAAAUUGAAUAAUGAAUUGUACGUAGUUAAAUCACUGGAUUUGUUGUAUGGUAUACUAUACCCGAUAUAAAAGGAUUAUAGAGUAAAAACUAAUAAGAGUACAGCUACCCUAUAAUUAAGGAUAUAGUCUUUAAUAAUAAAUGUAAAAUUUAAUGCUUAACGUUCAUAACUCUAUAUAUAAAUUGUUUUUUCUGACAGCUCAAGGAUCCGUGCUAAAGUAUUUUGAGUUCAAAGAGUCCACGGCUGAUAAACGUUAUACAUUAGUUAAGUUUCCAGUAAUACUGUAACAUUCAACAACAAAACCCAUCGACUAAAGAUUUGAUAAUGAUUUAUUUUUAUUUUCCCGGCUAUUACAUAUAACAGAAGGAAUGUAUGGUCUUCUUCAAUAAAAAAAAUCCGCACUGUUUUUACGUUUUUCGACUCUGGACCUUGAAACAUUGAAAAUGCAAAAAGGAGCAUUUCCCAUAAAAGUUCUCCCUUAAGGCAUUCCGUUUAGCAGACCGCACACUCGCCGCAUUGCUGCUGUAUACAAACACAACAAAACAAUACAAAGUGUCAGUCAUCUAUCUAACACCUUUCGGGCAAAAAUUUUAAAUUGAAAUAACGUAACUUCCGGUUUGCAUUGGUUUCAUAUAUAUUUAAUCGGGGCAUCGUGCCCUUAAGGUUUCUACGUCUGGGCACCAUCCAUCCUCCUUAAAGUGGGCCUGGCCGAAGCCAUAACGGGCUGGGUGAAAAGACCUUUUUAGUGCCCACGGAAAGAAAGUUUUAAAAAGUCUGAUAUAAUGUUAUAUUAUAAUUUCCGAAAAUCAUUUUGGACUUGAGAAAUAAUUAAUAUAUUAAAUAAAUUAAAUAUUGUUGUCGGUUUUUAUUUUAUAGAUUAUCGUCUGCUAAUAUUUUAUGUUCUUUUCAGGUUCGCGCAAUACUACCACCAGAGGGAUACUUGUAGUCUGAUGGAUGUUGUUUGAUUAGAGGUGUUGGUUGGAUUAUGAUGGUUUAUUAACCUGUAAUUUAAAAUAUCGAAGCAAAAAUGCCAAAUUUGACAGAUGAGAGCCUUAUCAGCAUUAAAAAUGAACUGGAUUGGAUGGAGAAUGAUA
Molecule: RNA transcript, 5289 nt
Organism: Centruroides sculpturatus (bark scorpion)
Lineage: Eukaryota; Metazoa; Arthropoda; Arachnida; Scorpiones; Buthidae
Gene name: zinc finger protein 271-like
Exons: 2
Source: RefSeq, a predicted model, not a curated record